CCACGUCCAUGCCGGCCAUUGACGUCAGUUCCUACGAACCCCAUAGGACGCCUUGUUCCCUGCAGAGCCCGCUGACCCUUCUACACCCAUCACCGUCAACAGAUCUGGAUGGGGCGUGAAUCAAUGCCUAUGUGGCAGGCUGAAGCAGCAACAAGGGCAAGAUCUGCUGAAACUCCUAGUGAGGCGCGAUUGAAUCUUUGUGUGCCUAGUGGAACUCUCUCUUCUUAUCUCUCUGGCUCAAGUCCAGAGAAGAUUCUUAAGUGGUGUGAUAGGCUGCAAGUGCUGAUUGCCAUAGCUAAGGCUGUUCAUUUCCUACAUACAGGAAUAAUUCCUGGUUCCUUAUAUAAUCGGCUAAAAUCUUCUAGUAUUUUGCUUGACGAAAACCUUAUGGCAAAGUUGAGCGACUAUGGGUUGUCCAUAAUCACAGAGGAGAUAUACAAACAUGAGGUAAUAGGAGAAUGGAAAAGAUACUUACAAAAUAACGCUGCAGAAAUGUAAGUCCCUACUGAACAAAAUUGUAGCUAAGUUUGAUUUCAAAUGCACAGUUAGAUAUAACAUUUAAUGAGGAGUUCAGCACUUCCAUUCACUUAUGCCAGCACACCAAGUGCAUUGAAAUAGGGGAAAAUAGCAAAUCUGCUUAUAAAGUUCAAACGUGUUAUUAUUAAUGCUGAGCCAAUUAAAAAAAUGUAACAUAUAUCUGUGUUUUUAGGAAAGUUUGGAGGAUGAUAUACACUCUUUUGGUUGAAUUCUAUUAUAAGUACUUAUGGGUCCAAAAUUACACGAAGGUGGCGGUCCUUUUGUUCUAAGGUCAUCUCCAGCAGAUGCUUUAAAAAUCUGUCCCCUAUAAUAUUAUUACAGCAUCCUCUAACAUUAUUAUAGUACUUCUUUUUUUUUAUCUCCAGCAAUUACUCUAUUUUUCACCUUCUAUUACUCCCCUUCUUUUUUCGGACCUACAGUCAUUCUCUCACUACAGUAAUGUAGCCCGUUCUGAGCUGCCACAAAUUUGCCAUCACGAGCGCUACAGUCCUGAGCUCCUGCAUUACUGUAGCACCUGAAAUUGGCUCCACUGGAGUGGGAUGCGGGCAGAUGGAUAGGUAAAAAGUACAAGUACAGGGAUACAGCUCGGUUUUGAGAGCUCCGCUGGAGUUGUCCUAAAUGAGCUGAUAUGUUCCCUUUCACAUUUGUACUAUAAGGUUUAUACUGGUGAUACCUGAUCGAGAUUUAGGUGAUGCUGAGAAGGUCGCUUAUUCACAAAAUGACUUUAAGCUAUUUAACUACUUGAAAUACCUAUUCUCCUUGUUGGGAUUUGACUUUAUUAUGUAUCGUUAUCCUUUUCCCCUUAUGAUUUAAAGUAGCACAUAUGUAAAAUACCUGUAAUCAUCUCGAGUUUGAUUUCACCAUUUUCCGAAAAAGGAUGAGGUAUAUGACUCGAUGCACAAAUAAUUAAACUGUUGUGCCAUUGACCCAUUUUGAGAUCUUUCAACAUUGCGGUUUGUGGGCAUUUAGAACAAUCGGACUUUUUUUUUUGUUUUUUAAACACACAUAAGUGACAGAUCUAGUCAAUAAUGACACAUGUUAGUGACGUGUUCGGAGUGAUAAAUAUGGUAUCCGUCACUAAUGAGUUUUUCUGAAAUAGUUUACGCCUAUUAUUGAACUUGCUCUUAAGCGUCGUCAUGCAUGUGACUGCGACUAGUCCUCAUGUUUCACAAUAGACGUAUCGGAAACAUUGUACACCAGGUGACUAAAAUAAUCUCCCCAUAUUUUGGUCAACGAGAGAUUGUGCAGUCACCAUGCCGAUGGGCUCACUGUGUACGAGUCUCAAAGUGAAUUGGAGAAGCGAGGCUCAAAGUCGCCAUGGUCCACUACCUCCGGCAACCCCUCUUUCCU
This is a long non-coding RNA of Phragmites australis (common reed), 1887 nucleotides long. RefSeq lists it as uncharacterized. The record is from RefSeq and is a predicted model, not a curated record. The transcript has 4 exons. NCBI's taxonomy places the organism in Eukaryota, Viridiplantae, Streptophyta, Magnoliopsida, Poales, Poaceae.